Molecule: ribosomal RNA, 468 nt
Filed under: uncultured bacterium
Lineage: Bacteria
Description: partial 16S ribosomal RNA
Rfam family: Bacterial small subunit ribosomal RNA
Source: RNAcentral
GACGAACGCUGGCGGCGUGCUUAACACAUGCAAGUCGAACGGAAAGGCCCGGCUUUUGUGGGGUGCUCGAGUGGCGAACGGGUGAGGAACACGUGAGUAACCUGCCCUUGACUUUGGGAUAACUUCAGGAAACUGGGGCUAAUACCGGAUAGGAGCUCCUGCUGCUUGGUGGGGGUUGGAAAGAUUCGGCGGUUGGGGGUGGACUCGCGGCACAUCGGCUAGUUGGUGGGGUUGUGGCAUACCAAGGCUUUGACAGGUAGCCGGCCUGAGAGGGGGACCGGCCACAUUGGGACUGAGAUGAGGCCCAGACUACUACGGGAGGCAGCAGUGGAGAAUAUUGCACAACGGGCGGAAGCCUGGUGCAGCAACGCCGCGUGCGGGAUAACGGCCUUCUGUUAGUAAACCGCUUUCGCCUGUGACGAGGCGUGAGUGACGGUAACGGGUAAAGAAGCCCCGGCUAACUACGUG